This 464-nucleotide long non-coding RNA is filed under the name Apteryx rowi (Okarito brown kiwi). RNAcentral describes it as "lncRNA (ENSARWG00000005514.1)". Lineage: Eukaryota; Metazoa; Chordata; Aves; Apterygiformes; Apterygidae. The record is from RNAcentral.
AUGGGUCUUAGGGAUGCUUUCAAGAAGAAAGGAAAUUGUUAUCUACGCAAAAUGCAAAGUGAAGGUACUUCAAUGAGGACAAUGUCUAUCCCAUUAUUGUGGCUAUCGAUUUCCUGCAUUUUUUUCCUUCACAUACCCACUAUUGGUGACAUUGUGCCGUGUGUGGCUGGAACAACCCCAGCCCACCUGGGAUGUCCCCAAAAAGCUUUAAUAUUACCUUUACAGUUAAGUGUGCAGUAAAUAUAGAAGACAGGUGAAAUGCCAUUUCUUUUGUUUGAGGUUUGCUUUGAAACUUUCAUACUGGUUUAUAGCAUCUUGUGAAUUUGGCUAGGCAUAGGCUUGAUUAAUGGGUAUAUUAUUCAGAUGGGCACCCACCAUCAACAGUGAAGACAUAACUUUUAUCUUCCCAUAAGGCUUUAGGGAUGAUAGUUUUAAAUAGUAAUAAAAAUUGCUGUAGCUCAUCA